RNAcentral lists this ribosomal RNA (270 nucleotides) under uncultured archaeon. RNAcentral describes it as "partial 16S ribosomal RNA". It matches the Rfam family "Archaeal small subunit ribosomal RNA", at positions 477 to 747 of the family's 1478-position model. The record is from RNAcentral.
CAGCACCUCAAGUGGUCAGGAUGAUUAUUGGGCCUAAAGCAUCCGUAGCUUGCUUUGUCAGUUUUCGGUUAAAUCCAUACGCUCAACGUAUGGGCUGCCGGGAAUACUGCAAGGCUAGGGAGUGGGAGAGGUAGACGGUACUCGGUAGGAAGGGGUAAAAUCCUUUGAUCUAUUGAUGACCACCUGUGGCGAAGGCGGUCUACCAGAACACGUCCGACGGUGAGGGAUGAAAGCUGGGGGAGCAAACCGGAUUAGAUACCCGUGUAGUCC